This 305-nucleotide ribosomal RNA is filed under the name uncultured bacterium. RNAcentral describes it as "bacterial SSU rRNA". It matches the Rfam family "Bacterial small subunit ribosomal RNA", at positions 333 to 652 of the family's 1533-position model. The record is from RNAcentral.
UUAAGCCUACGGGACGCAGCAGUGGGGAAUAUUGGGCAAUGGGCGCAAGCCUGACCCAGCAACGCCGCGUGAAGGAAGAAGGCUUUCGGGUUGUAAACUUCUUUUCUCAGGGACGAAGAAAGUGACGGUACCUGAGGAAUAAGCCACGGCUAACUACGUGCCAGCAGCCGCGGUAAUACGUAGGUGGCAAGCGUUGUCCGGAUUUACUGGGUGUAAAGGGCGUGCAGCCGGGCUGACAAGUCAGAUGUGAAAUCCCGCGGCUCAACCGCGGAACUGCAUUUGAAACUGUCAGUCUUGAGUACCGG